GCAGAAUUGAGCACGUGUACAGUGCAAAGAGUUGCACCGACCACAAACACUAUCUUCUCGCCCUCUUGGUUCCCGCUCCUUCCUCUCUCUGCUCUCGCCUCCUCUUUCCGUCUCUCUCUCCGGCGGCGACACUGACCAGGCAAGGCAAUAAAAUGAAUGAUAAAACCAACUUCUCUUAAAACUCAAUUUCGUCGACCGAAUUCUCCUCAAUGGCUGCCGCUGCCACGACCACAACUCUCUCUCUCGUCCCUUCUCUGGGAUUCUCUUCGCGUUUCUCCUCUUCUUCUACUUCUUCUACCUCAUCAUUGUUCUUUACGGGUAGCACCCACCUUUGGUCCCAUAAGAAUUUCGCCUCUGUUUCUUUAACUUCUCCUCCCCAUACUUCUCUAAAGUUCAGGACCCAGGCCUCCACCAAUCGUUUUCGACCUGUGAUUAAUGCUUCCGGGGAUUACUAUGUUACUCUUGGGGUUCCUAAAUCUGCUACUGGUAAAGAAAUCAAGGCCGCUUAUCGAAGGUUAGCUCGCCAGUACCACCCAGAUGUUAACAAGGAACCUGGAGCAACUGAAAAGUUCAAGGAGAUAAGUGCUGCCUAUGAGGUGCUAUCAGAUGAUAAAAAGAGGGCUCUGUACGAUCAGUAUGGUGAAGCUGGAGUUAAGAGUACAGUAGGAGGAGCAUCAAGUGCUUAUACGACAAAUCCUUUUGAUCUAUUUGAGACAUUCUUUGGGUCAACCAUAGGUGGUUUUCCUGGCAUGGAAACUGGGUUCAGCACACGCCGCCGUAGUACUGUUACUAAGGGUGAAGACAUACGUUAUGACAUCACUUUAGAAUUUUCUGAGUCUAUAUUUGGAUCUGAAAAGGAAUUUGAGCUUUCUCAUUUGGAAACUUGUGAAAUUUGUACUGGUACUGGAGCAAAGAUGGGCUCCAAGAUGAGAAUAUGCUCCACAUGUGGUGGCAGGGGUCAAGUUAUGAGAACUGAGCAAACACCCUUUGGCUUGUUCUCACAGGUUUCUAUGUGUCCCAAUUGUGGUGGAGAAGGUGAGGUCAUUUCUGAAUACUGUCGAAAAUGCUCUGGUGAAGGGCGUAUUCGUGUUAGGAAAAAUAUCAAAGUCAAAAUCCCUCCUGGAGUUAGCACAGGCAGUAUUCUUAGAGUUGCAGGAGAAGGUGAUGCUGGACCAAGAGGCGGUCCUCCAGGAGAUCUUUUUGUGUAUCUGGAUGUUGAGGAGAUAACUGGAAUCCAAAGAGAUGGCAUAAAUCUCAACUCAACAAUAUCUAUCACUUAUCUUGAUGCAAUUCUGGGGGUGGUAGUUAAGGUAAAGACAGUUGAAGGAGUAAGUGAACUUCAGAUUCCAGCAGGUACUCAGCCUGGAGAUGUUCUAGUCCUGGCAAAGAAAGGUGCACCUAAACUGAAUAAACCAUCUAUACGCGGUGAUCACUUGUUUACAAUUAAGGUUAUUAUACCAAAUCGUGUAAGUUUCAAAGAGCGUGAGUUACUCGAAGAACUUGCUUCUCUGAGUAAUACUACCAGCACUCGACCACGAACUCGCUUAAGAACUCAACCUGCAAGUAGAAGUGCAGAAAGUCAGGUGGAAACUGUUGCUGAGAAAGGUGAGGAGUCAGGAGGCCAAAAUGAUGUAUGGCAGAAGUUAAAAGAUUUUGCUGGGUCUGUUGCAAAUGGAGCUCUGAAAUGGCUGAAAGACAACCUCUGAGUUUGAAAUCUUCACUAGGUGACCAUGUGGCAUCCAAACUCUGCGAUAAUUUGAAACUAGCCACUGGAUUUUGUACUCCCCUCAAGACAUGGUCCCAAGGGCCAAGCCAUUGUUUACAUGGAUUCCUUUGAUUGAUAUUCUCAGCAUUGUGAUGAAAAUUCAAUAGCACUAUAGUGGAGAUUCUUUGAAAUUUUGUUUUCCCCUCUUGUAAAUCUAUGUCUAUGGCAAGCUACUACAGAUUAAUCUCUUUGAGCAGUUUAGAGCAGCAACAGCGAGUAAAUGUAAGCAAUAUUUUAGCAAUGUAUAAAGCUGAUGCUAUAAUGAAAUCUCACAAUCAAUUGACUUCCUCUUGGCAUUGGCAAUUACUGGCUCCAAUCUCUUUCUGGAGGAACGUAUUUACAAAACUUUCCCCUUAUGAAUGAAGAAUAUCAAACUUAAAAUAAUCUACAAAUGUCCAAAAUGUGUAGCACUACAGACUACGUUCUGUUUACCAAAACACAAGACAAGCUUUCACCUUUUACGACUUUGCCUGAGCAAAACCAGAAUGGCUAGAAUUACAGGAGUUGAUACCAUAAUCAAAGCUAGGAGGAUGUUGGGUCUUGUUAUCUCAGGAAAAAGGAUGCUUCCAUAUUUGAUCAGAGCUGCACCAGCAAGAGAACCAGCUCCUAGUUUCCACAAAUAGUUCAAGUCCUCCUGAGAGAUGGUGUUGCUGUUAUUCAUGCUCGAACUUUCUUCUUCUCUUGGAGAGUUGGAGGCGUGGAUAGGAUGAUAAGGUCCUUUUUUCGUUGCAUUUGAUGAGAGAUUGGGGGCAUUGAGGAAGAAGAACUUUGAGGAACCCAUGAGAUUAUUUUUUGUGGGUUUUAACAAAAGCUUGUGAUUCGAGGAGUAUGAGUCGCAGAGCUUAGGAGCUACCCUUGCCAUGGUUGCCACUGCCAUUAUCUGCUUACCUCAAGUCUUCAAUUUUUCUUCAAAAUCUCCUCCUCUUAUUAUGGAAAAUUGGAAAUACUUUACUGGCUGUAAAUCCAACUUCUUUUUCCUUUUUUUCUAAUAACUUCAAAAAUGUUUUUUUCAAUACGACAUGCCGUUUACAUACAUCAUCAUUCACAGUUACAGGGCUAUCAAUUUCAUGAAUGAGAAGCAAUACGCCUGGUUGCUUUUUUAAUCGAUUCCAGGAUUUCUACCUCCCUCUUCUAGUCUUAUAUAUCAAUUUCAUAAAAACCUAAUCCCCAAUUUCUCUCUCAGAAACCCUAAUUGUUAGAAUUUUGUAAUAAUCAUCGAAAAUGGUGUUGGCACAGCUGGGAGGGAGCAUAUCCCGGGCAAUCCAGCAGAUGAGCAAUGCCACAAUCAUCGAUGAGAAGGUUUUGAACGAGUGCCUCAACGAGAUCACCCGCGCUCUACUUCAAUCCGAUGUCCAAUUCAAGCUUGUUCGCGACAUGCAGACUAAUAUUAAGAAAAUUGUCAAUCUCGAUGAUCUCGCUGCUGGUCACAACAAACGCAAGAUCAUCCAGCAGGCAAUAUUUAACGAGCUAUGUAAAAUGUUGGAUCCGGGGAAGCCAUCUUUUACUCCGAAGAAAGGGAAAACAAGUGUUGUUAUGUUUGUUGGUUUACAAGGGUCUGGGAAAACCACUACAUGUACUAAAUAUGCAUAUUAUCAUCAGAAAAAAGGUUGGAAACCUGCUCUAGUCUGUGCUGAUACAUUCAGAGCUGGUGCUUUUGAUCAGCUAAAGCAGAAUGCCACCAAAGCUAAGAUACCAUUUUAUGGAAGUUAUAUGGAAUCGGAUCCUGUCAAGAUUGCAGUGGAAGGAGUCGAAAGAUUCAAGAAGGAAAAUUGUGAUCUUAUAAUUGUUGAUACCAGUGGGCGCCAUAAACAAGAAGCUGCUCUUUUUGAAGAAAUGCGCCAAGUUUCUGAAGCAACGAAACCCGAUCUUGUUAUAUUUGUUAUGGAUAGCAGUAUUGGUCAAGCCGCAUUUGAUCAAGCUCAAGCAUUUAAGCAAAGUGUUGCAGUUGGAGCUGUGAUUGUUACCAAAAUGGAUGGUCAUGCAAAGGGUGGUGGUGCUCUUAGUGCUGUUGCAGCAACAAAGAGUCCUGUUAUAUUUAUUGGAACAGGAGAGCAUAUGGAUGAGUUUGAAGUUUUUGAUGUUAAACCUUUUGUUAGUCGCCUUUUAGGUAUUCCCAUUCUUCAGUUUUGACACUUUUGCUUUGAUUGUGUUCGAACCUCUAGAAAUUGUCCUCACUUGAUUGCAUAUUGCUGUGAGUAAUGACGUAAUAAUAAUCUUCCAUCUAGGAAUGGGUGACUGGUCCGGAUUCAUGGACAAAAUUCAUGAGGUUGUUCCUAUGGAUCAACAACCUGAGCUUCUGCAAAAACUAUCAGAAGGAAACUUUACCUUGAGGAUUAUGUAUGAGCAGUUCCAGAACAUACUUAAAAUGGGUCCCAUUGGCCAGGUAUUUUCUAUGCUACCAGGAUUUAGUGCUGAAUUAAUGCCAAAAGGUCGUGAAAAGGAAAGCCAGGCAAAGAUUAAGCGUUAUAUGACUAUGAUGGAUUCAAUGACAAAUGAAGAGUUGGAUAGUUCUAAUCCUAAGCUUAUGAAUGAGUCACGUAUUAUGAGGAUAGCACGGGGUUCUGGCCGCCAGGUUAGAGAAGUGAUGGAAAUGUUAGAGGAGUACAAGCGUCUGGCCAAAAUCUGGAGCAAAAUGAAGGGACUUAAGAUUCCUAAGAAGGGUGAAAUGAGUGCUUUGUCCAGAAAUAUGAAUGCACAACACAUGAGCAAAGUCCUCCCUCCACAGAUGCUGAAGCAAAUUGGUGGCAUGGGUGGCCUGCAAAAUUUGAUGAAGCAAAUGGGUUCUGCCAAGGACAUGAUGGGGAUGUUUGGAGGAGGGGACAAGUAGAGUGUGAUCGGAACUGCAUUGUUGAGCUGAAUUGGGUUCCAAUCAAGCAUAAGCUUGAGAGGACCAAACAUGGAACAGGCAUAUAAGCAAAACAAUGCUCCUGACUGUUUAGCUUCUUAAAGGUUGAUGCAAUUUGGCUUUUUUCCCUGGUAUACCAGCAUAAAUAGAGAGUUUUUUAAUCAGUGUUCCAGCAGAUGUAUAUUGUUUAGAAUUUUGCAUUGUGGGGACGUCGAGAAUUGUUGCAUUUGCAAUUCCCUAAUCUGUUCAAUGAUAGUUGCUCAGGGAUUUCCACAACCGUCCGGUUCAUUUUGUCCAAGAGAGAAAUUGUAGGUUUUGAAUAUCAAAGAGUUGAAUGUCCAAAGCUUUUAUGUGGUUUAAACCCUAGCGGACUUCAGAGUUUAGAUUGAGCAAUUAAAAUCAUGUACUGCCGGAAUCCUCGAAUCAAGUUACGUGAUUGGAAAAUCUUUCAUAUGUUAAGGCUGUUUGUGAAAAAG
RNAcentral lists this unclassified non-coding RNA (5086 nucleotides) under Hevea brasiliensis (rubber tree). Lineage: Eukaryota; Viridiplantae; Streptophyta; Magnoliopsida; Malpighiales; Euphorbiaceae. The record is from RNAcentral.